RNAcentral lists this transfer RNA (72 nucleotides) under Pseudodesulfovibrio sp. zrk46. RNAcentral's name for it is "tRNA-Ala". It matches the Rfam family "tRNA". From Rfam's summary of the family: Transfer RNA (tRNA) molecules are approximately 80 nucleotides in length. The record is from RNAcentral. Lineage: Bacteria; Pseudomonadati; Thermodesulfobacteriota; Desulfovibrionia; Desulfovibrionales; Desulfovibrionaceae.
GGGGGUGUAGCUCAGCUGGGAGAGCAUCGGCUUUGCAAGCCGAGGGUCGGGUUCGAGCCUCCACCUCCACCA